RNAcentral lists this ribosomal RNA (852 nucleotides) under Teratoramularia persicariae. RNAcentral's name for it is "eukaryotic LSU rRNA". It matches the Rfam family "Eukaryotic large subunit ribosomal RNA", at positions 54 to 938 of the family's 3401-position model. Lineage: Eukaryota; Fungi; Ascomycota; Dothideomycetes; Mycosphaerellales; Mycosphaerellaceae. The record is from RNAcentral.
AGGAAAAGAAACCAACAGGGAUUGCCCUAGUAACGGCGAGUGAAGCGGCAACAGCUCAAAUUUGAAAUCUGGCGCCAGCCCGAGUUGUAAUUUGUAGAGGAUGCUUCUGGGCAGCGGCCGGUCUAAGUCCCUUGGAACGGGGCGUCAUAGAGGGUGAGAAUCCCGUAUGCGACCGGCUGGCACCCGUCACGUAGCUCCUUCGACGAGUCGAGUUGUUUGGGAAUGCAGCUCUAAAUGGGAGGUAAAUUUCUUCUAAAGCUAAAUACCGGCCAGAGACCGAUAGCGCACAAGUAGAGUGAUCGAAAGAUGAAAAGCACUUUGGAAAGAGAGUUAAAAAGCACGUGAAAUUGUUGAAAGGGAAGCGCAUGCAACCAGACUUGUCGGCGGUGUUCCGCCGGUCUUCUGACCGGUUCACUCUCCGCCGGCAGGCCAGCAUCGUCUGGGGCCGCCGGAUAAAGGCGCGAGGAAUGUGGCUCCCUCGGGAGUGUUAUAGCCUCGCGCACAAUACGGCGCGCGCCGGGCGAGGUCCGCGCUUCGGCUAGGAUGCUGGCGUAAUGGUUGUCUGCGGCCCGUCUUGAAACACGGACCAAGGAGUCUAACAUCUAUGCGAGUGUUCGGGUGUCAAACCCCUACGCGUAAUGAAAGUGAACGGAGGUGGGAGCUCUCGCGCACCAUCGACCGAUCCUGAUGUCUUCGGAUGGAUUUGAGUACGAGCAUAGCUGUUGGGACCCGAAAGAUGGUGAACUAUGCCUGAAUAGGGUGAAGCCAGAGGAAACUCUGGUGGAGGCUCGCAGCGGUUCUGACGUGCAAAUCGAUCGUCAAAUUUGGGUAUAGGGGCGAAAGACUAAUCGA